Molecule: RNA transcript, 3332 nt
Organism: Triticum aestivum (bread wheat)
Lineage: Eukaryota; Viridiplantae; Streptophyta; Magnoliopsida; Poales; Poaceae
Exons: 8
Source: RefSeq, a predicted model, not a curated record
CCCCCCCCCCCCCACUCACCCUGGUUUAGCGUCCGGAGAUGUGGAACGGGACGUCCAUGAGAUGGGGCUGCCUUCACCUCCGCCCCACCCUUCCAUGUGGCUCGCUCAGCUGCCAGCCGACCGUGAUGGAUGCGGUGGCGAGGACGACCGGCAGCCCCCUGGUGAGGUUUGACCAAAGGAUGGAUGUGUUUGCUGAAACAAAGUUGCAAAGAGAUGGCAUCGAGUUGAGUACAGGAUUCAGAGUGAUAAAGGUCUCUGAUGAUUUGAUUGCAGUGAAGUACAAAUCAUCUGGUGGAGAAUCAUUGGUGCCAUAUGGGAUGGUCGUUAACAUCUCAUCGAACUAUCGGUGUUCCUUUGUUUUUGGAUGCAUGAUCGGAGGACGAACCUGUCGUACUCGCAGCAUGUGUCGCUGGUGUACACGCCGGUGCCGCCAAGAAGGAGGAGCAGGUGGUGUACGAGGCAGCCAGUUGCAAUGGAGGAGGACGAGAUCCACGAGGAGGGCUUCCUAGAGAUAUCACAACAUCUCCAAAUGUUACAACAAGGAGAAGAAAAGGCAAGAUGUUUAAGGCUGGUGCACCCUGUUUAAAUGAAUGGUUUUACAGUUUGGUGCUGAACAAUAUGAGAAAGCUGCUGCUGGAGGUGGUGGAUUCGAGGGCGGUUUUGAAAAUCCUAUUGAGGAUAUUUUUGGUUCUCUUAUGACCGUACUGGCAGAAUGAAUGAUGUAUGCCAUCUAUUCUGAGUUGUUAAUCUUGUCUACUGCUACAGCAAUGGGCAUCUAAAAUAAUUCUUUUCGGAGGUCAAUGGCAAGAGGUGAAUGAUAUAUUGGUAUUGUACAGAGUCUUCGAUCCAAAGGGUAAUGCUUGCUGGAUAUAGGGACUGCCGCAACCCACAGGUUUUCCAUCGACAGAUUCCAGUUGGUGUCACAAAGGAUAUAUGCUCAUUGGAUUUGUUGAUGUUGAAGCAUCAGUGAGAUCACAUGAAUGCGGAAUCAGGGUGCUUAUGAGAUCACAUGAAUGAGGUAUUACACCCGCUCCAAAAGUUUCUCAAAUAUACUCUAAAUUUGUUGUAUGUAUGAUGUUUCCGUUGUUCAUUUCUGUUAUUUUUAUUUCUAAUCCUAAUAAGAAUACAAGCAGUGCUCAUAUUCUUGUGUUGUAUACAAAGUGCCCAUAUUCUUGUGCUAUUAUGACAAAUUCUUUAGACACAUAGAAGUCAUAUCUGGUUUACAACAUAUCUAUCAUUAUGAAAUUGUAUUAAUACUAUACAUCUUAUCCGUCAGUUGCUCUUCCUAAUCCGAAGGAACUUCUGGCCCGGAAUCCAACUGAAACUAAAUUUCAGAAAAAGUUUGUUGUGUAUGCAUGGAAAUACACUAUGAAUCUCCAAAUGUUCAGUGGUAAAAUCUUGCAAGAUGAAGAAGGUAGUUCUUCUUAAUGGUAAAGCAUGUAUUGGAUGAUAGAGUUGAUAGCAUUUCAAUCUCAGUGUUGCAUAUUACCAUAAGGAUUUAGUUAAGGUCAGACCUUUGCUUUAAUAGUUUCUUCUAAAUUGGACACAAACCCCAUACCAUGUCUUUGAGACGGAGUUGGUUCGCACUUGUACUGCUGGAGGGCAUGCGUCUCUGUGAAGCCAUUUUCAUGCAGGUUCACACAUAUUUGUCUUCCACAUAUAGAAAACUAACAGACGUUAGCAUCAGGUUAUUUGUUUUCUUUUGUAAAAGGUAUGGAAGCUUUAGUCUAAUUAACAAAAGGAAGCUUUACUGAGCAAGACAGAAAAAUAAAUAAAAUUACGACAUGAAUUGAAUCAACAUUUUAAAUGCCAGCCAGAUCAAAAGAAAUAUUUUUUUUUACAUAAUACUUGUUAGAAUUAUAGAAAAAAAAUGAAGUCCUCCCUGUGCUGGAUAGAACCUUCUCCAGUUCAUGUUUAGUAGGGCACCAACUACUUUGUAGUAUGCAAAAACAUGAUGAGGUCCAUCGGCUCCUGAACCAAGCAGGGAAAUAGUUCCGAAAGAUAGACCGCCUUAAAUAAGAGUGCAUUUUUUGAUUAUUUCAUGAAGCAGAGAGGAUUUUAAUAAGCCGUAAGGUACUAAUUUUUUCCUAUGUAGCAAAGUAUAAAGAUAGGGCCUCAAAAUUUCAGUACUACUAUCAUUAUCUUGGAUCAGAUGAUGUUGGUUUUGUUAUUCUACAUGCCCUUUUGUAGUGCGUGAGGGACACAACUAUAUAUGGUGCUCUUUGGAUUGAGAAUGUCAAAGCCGGCUAUAUUGAUAGGCUUGUGCAGAUUAUUUCGAAAGAGACAGAGGUUGCUAUGGUUUGUACAUUCAAAAGGAAAAUGUAUCUGUUCAAGGCAGUGAGGUAUGUCCCAUGUUUACUCAUACACACAACCUGUCUUGUACUUCCUGGUGGCAAUACAUUAUUUGAUAUCAUCUCUGUCUAUUAUUAUUCGGGUUGAUGUAUUGGUUCUGUUUAUCUCUAUUAUUAGAAAGUACUUGCAGCAGUGUCUUUCGGCUAUAGCUAAGGAAGAAAUAUUCUGACAUUUGUAGCUUCUAAAUGUAUUGUAGCACAUUUGGAUAGAUUCUUCAUUAUCAUAACAAAUGUGAUGAUGCGGGUCUAUAGACAGUUCUGAACAUAAGCACUAGAAAAUAUGUUUGUCUGCGAUGACCAUAUAAAUAAAUAUGGUCUAUCUCCAGUCUGAGUAAUAGUGCUCAAACAAGUCAAAUUCUAUAUUUUAGAUUAGUGGUACAUAUUGUCGUCUUAGUGCUACCUUCAAUUGGAGCAUUGUAUAUGACGCUAAGCAACCAGUUCUGCAAUCCACUUUUAUUCAUGCAAUUAUUUUUUGGAGCAUUAUAUAUUGCUUCCUGCAUCUAAACUUUUAUCAUAUACUCCAUCCGUCUCGAAUUAGCUGUUGCAGAAAUGGAUAAAAAUGUAUGUAUAUAGAACUAACAUACGUCUAGAUACAUCUAUUCCUGCAACAAGUAAUUUCGGGCGGAGGGACUAUAUGUGUGAGCAAGCUGAUAGACGAGGAGGCCGAGCCAUCCCCAAGGGCGUCGACAUCAUCUUGCUCCUUGCCUCGUGGGGCGGAGGAUGAGGAGGCGGGUAAGUCCACAGCGCCGUCGUCGUCGUUCUCGCCUUCGAGCGAAAGCGGGUGUUGAACGUGGUUGACCGAGGGUGUCGCGAGCAACCUGAUCGUUUAUGUAACCUAAGACUAGUGCCUGUUGCACCACAUGCGCCCGUUGAUAUCUAUGAUCUAUGAUGUCAGCUGCUUUUCUUUUAGAGACGAUCCAUUGUCUGAAUAUGUUGCAUUUGUACUACUUUUUCUAAUAAUUCCGGUCAGUUACUUGGUCA